Molecule: transfer RNA, 83 nt
Filed under: Candidatus Portiera sp.
Lineage: Bacteria; Pseudomonadati; Pseudomonadota; Gammaproteobacteria; Johnevansiales (SeqCode); Johnevansiaceae (SeqCode)
Description: tRNA-Leu
Rfam family: tRNA
About the family: Transfer RNA (tRNA) molecules are approximately 80 nucleotides in length. Their secondary structure includes four short double-helical elements and three loops (D, anti-codon, and T loops).
Source: RNAcentral
GCCCGGGUGGUGGAAUUGGUAGACACACAAGACUUAAAAUCUUGCGCUCUUUGGGCGUGCCGGUUCAAGUCCGGCCUCGGGCA